GAUGAACGCUGGCGGCGUGCCUAAUACAUGCAAGUCGAGCGAACAGACGAGGAGCUUGCUUCUCUGACGUUAGCGGCGGACGGGUGAGUAACACGUGGAUAACUUACCUAUAAGACUGGGAUCACUUCGGGAAACCGGAGCCAAUACCCGACAAUAUAUUGAACCGCAUGGUUCAAUAGUGAAAGACGAAUUUGCUGUCACUUAUAGAUGGAUCCGCGCCGCAUUAGCUAGUUGGUAAGGUAACGGCUUACCAAGGCAACGAUGCGUAGCCGACCUGAGAGGGUGAUCGGCCACACUGGAACUGAGACACGGUCCAGACUCCUACGGGAGGCAGCAGUGGGGAAUCUUGGGCAAUGGGCGAAAGCUUGACGGAGCAAUGCCGCGUGAGUGAUGAAGGUCUUCGGAUCGUAAAGCUCUGUUAUUAGGGAAGAACGAAUGUGUAAGUAACUAUGCACGUCUUGACGGUACCUAAACAGAAAGCCACGGCUAACUACGUG
Molecule: ribosomal RNA, 497 nt
Filed under: uncultured bacterium
Lineage: Bacteria
Description: partial 16S ribosomal RNA
Rfam family: Bacterial small subunit ribosomal RNA
Source: RNAcentral